Small nucleolar RNA from Choloepus didactylus (southern two-toed sloth), 77 nucleotides. RefSeq annotates it as small nucleolar RNA SNORD115. NCBI's taxonomy places the organism in Eukaryota, Metazoa, Chordata, Mammalia, Pilosa, Megalonychidae. The transcript has a single exon. The record is from RefSeq and is a predicted model, not a curated record.
GUAUCAAUGAGGAGCAGUGAUCUUGUGGAAGACAGAUGAUGACACAAAAAUCAUGUUGGAUAGGAUUACACUGAGGC